GGGUUGUGAGGUUAAGCGACUAAGCGUACACGGUGGAUGCCCUGGCAGUCAGAGGCGAUGAAGGACGUGCUAAUCUGCGAUAAGCGUCGGUAAGGUGAUAUGAACCGUUAUAACCGGCGAUUUCCGAAUGGGGAAACCCAGUGUGAUUCGUCACACUAUCGUUAACUGAAUACAUAGGUUAACGAAGCGAACCGGGGGAACUGAAACAUCUAAGUACCCCGAGGAAAAGAAAUCAACCGAGAUUCCCCCAGUAGCGGCGAGCGAACGGGGAGGAGCCCAGAGCCUGAAUCAGCAUGUGUGUUAGUGGAAGCGUCUGGAAAGGCGCGCGAUACAGGGUGACAGCCCCGUACACAAAAGCGCAUGUGCUGUGAGCUCGAUGAGUAGGGCGGGACACGUGGUAUCCUGUCUGAAUAUGGGGGGACCAUCCUCCAAGGCUAAAUACUCCUGACUGACCGAUAGUGAACCAGUACCGUGAGGGAAAGGCGAAAAGAACCCCGGCGAGGGGAGUGAAAAAGAACCUGAAACCGUGUACGUACAAGCAGUGGGAGCCCCACCACCAAAGCAUUCUCUGGUGUUGAAGGCCCUGCAAAGCAGCAUCGCGGUGGCGGAGCGUCGUUUGCGACGCCCAACACACAAAACAAGCGGUGAGUGCUUUGGGGUGGGGUGACUGCGUACCUUUUGUAUAAUGGGUCAGCGACUUAUAUUCUGUAGCAAGGUUAACCGUAUAGGGGAGCCGAAGGGAAACCGAGUCUUAACUGGGCGUUAAGUUGCAGGGUAUAGACCCGAAACCCGGUGAUCUAGCCAUGGGCAGGUUGAAGGUUGGGUAACACUAACUGGAGGACCGAACCGACUAAUGUUGAAAAAUUAGCGGAUGACUUGUGGCUGGGGGUGAAAGGCCAAUCAAACCGGGAGAUAGCUGGUUCUCCCCGAAAGCUAUUUAGGUAGCGCCUCGUGAACUCAUCUUCGGGGGUAGAGCACUGUUUCGGCUAGGGGGUCAUCCCGACUUACCAACCCGAUGCAAACUGCGAAUACCGAAGAAUGUUAUCACGGGAGACACACGGCGGGUGCUAACGUCCGUCGUGAAGAGGGAAACAACCCAGACCGCCAGCUAAGGUCCCAAAGUCACAGUUAAGUGGGAAACGAUGUGGGAAGGCUCAGACAGCCAGGAUGUUGGCUUAGAAGCAGCCAUCAUUUAAAGAAAGCGUAAUAGCUCACUGGUCGAGUCGGCCUGCGCGGAAGAUGUAACGGGGCUAAACUGUGCACCGAAGCUGCGGCAGCGACGCUUAUGCGUUGUUGGGUAGGGGAGCGUUCUGUAAGCCUGCGAAGGUGUCCUGUGAGGGAUGCUGGAGGUAUCAGAAGUGCGAAUGCUGACAUAAGUAACGAUAAUGCGGGUGAAAAGCCCGCUCGCCGGAAGACCAAGGGUUCCUGUCCAACGUUAAUCGGGGCAGGGUGAGUCGACCCCUAAGGCGAGGCCGAAAGGCGUAGUCGAUGGGAAACGGGUUAAUAUUCCCGUACUUGGUGUUACUGCGAAGGGGGGACGGAGAAGGCUAUGUUGGCCGGGCGACGGUUGUCCCGGUUUAAGCGUGUAGGCUGGUUUUCCAGGCAAAUCCGGAAAAUCAAGGCUGAGGCGUGAUGACGAGGCACUACGGUGCUGAAGCAACAAAUGCCCUGCUUCCAGGAAAAGCCUCUAAGCAUCAGGUAACAUCAAAUCGUACCCCAAACCGACACAGGUGGUCAGGUAGAGAAUACCAAGGCGCUUGAGAGAACUCGGGUGAAGGAACUAGGCAAAAUGGUGCCGUAACUUCGGGAGAAGGCACGCUGACACGUAGGUGAAGUGAUUUACUCA
This 1846-nucleotide ribosomal RNA is filed under the name Salmonella enterica subsp. enterica serovar Kentucky. Its description in RNAcentral is "partial 23S ribosomal RNA". It matches the Rfam family "Bacterial large subunit ribosomal RNA", at positions 1 to 1773 of the family's 2925-position model. The record is from RNAcentral. Lineage: Bacteria; Pseudomonadati; Pseudomonadota; Gammaproteobacteria; Enterobacterales; Enterobacteriaceae.